GACGAACGCUGGCGGCGUGCCUAAUACAUGCAAGUUGAGCGCUGAAGGUUGGUACUUGUACCGACUGGAUGAGCAGCGAACGGGUGAGUAACGCGUGGGGAAUCUGCCUUUGAGCGGGGGACAACAUUUGGAAACGAAUGCUAAUACCGCAUAAAAACUUUAAACACAAGUUUUAAGUUUGAAAGAUGCAAUUGCAUCACUCAAAGAUGAUCCCGCGUUGUAUUAGCUAGUUGGUGAGGUAAAGGCUCACCAAGGCGAUGGUACAUAGCCGACCUGAGAGGGUGAUCGGCCACAUUGGGACUGAGACACGGCCCAAACUCCUACGGGAGGCAGCAGUAGGGAAUCUUCGGCAAGGGACGAAAGUCUGACCGAGCAACGCCGCGUGAGUGAAGAAGGUUGUCGGGUCGUAAAACUCGGUUGGUAGAGAAGAACGUUGGUGAGAGUGGAAAGCUCAUCAAGUGACGGUAACUACCCAGAAAGGGACGGCUAACUACGUG
RNAcentral lists this ribosomal RNA (497 nucleotides) under uncultured bacterium. Its description in RNAcentral is "partial 16S ribosomal RNA". It matches the Rfam family "Bacterial small subunit ribosomal RNA", at positions 28 to 507 of the family's 1533-position model. The record is from RNAcentral.